UACUGUUGUUUCGGGACAUUU
This 21-nucleotide microRNA is filed under the name Aedes aegypti (yellow fever mosquito). Its description in RNAcentral is "Aae-Mir-1000-P2_3p* (star (passenger))". Lineage: Eukaryota; Metazoa; Arthropoda; Insecta; Diptera; Culicidae. The record is from RNAcentral.